UUUGAGAACUAUUAAUAAUGAAAUAAAAGGGGAUUGCAGUGAUGACUCCAUAAAAUUCAAGCUCAACAGACCGGAUUGCAGGUUUUUCUCAGUGGAGAAAAUUAUUUGCGUGUCGAUACACCCGCUGAGCUGAGCAAUCUCUUUUAAUUUUAUCAAUUCUCGAUUUUGGGUUUUAAAAUUUUCGAAUUUGAAUGUUUUUGAUUUAUACCGCCACUACUGAGUAAUGUUUCGAAGGAUUGCAAUGAGGAUAACAAGCUCCCUCUUCUGAAUUAAGCUGAGGACAAUUGUUGGCUGAAUCGAACCUAAUUAUAAUCGCCACUACUGAGGAAUCUCUCUGUAACCAAUUUUCCCCUUGUUUAAGCCAUAAUAGCUAAUAAUUAUUUAUGAUUAAUGAUUUGAAUCUCUGAAUCUUUAAACUCAAUCCUGAUUGUACUGUCUGGAGUAUAAACUCCUACUCUGCUAGCCAUAAGGCAACAUUUUUAGAGUCGCUGAUGCGUUUACACUGCAAUAGCGACAUCAGUGCUGUAUGUUUCCGAAAGUGAACCUUUGUGCUGAGAUUUUUGCACUAAUUGCUGUUCAACUAGCGAUUUAACGCAUUGAAGCUCAAACAUACAAGUCUUUAUUCAUGAUAAUUACAAUUGUAUAUUCUGUUUUUUAUAUUUUACAUGAUUAGAAAUUUAGCACAUAUAGUUAAAUGAUUCUUCAGGUCUCUGUUAAUGGUUUAAGGGGUUACUUUUAUUCUAUAUGAUAACAGAUAUGAAGCAUCAUCUUUAUGAAUCUUCAUGUCUCUUAAUUUCUGCAAUUCUGAGGAGUAUAAUUUAAUUAGAACGGUGGUGGUUGUUUUCAUGUCUUCUGCUGUGUGUGUGAUUUGAAAAGGGAACCUUUCAAAUGUUGCAAGUUUCUUUUUUUCCUUUUUUGGUCUGAGCCACGUUGACGAUAGUCAAAAAGACAAUGACCGUCAAUGCUAUGAUUAGACCUACACAAAUUUCAUGUUUCGCAUCUUGAUAGGAAUAUGUGCACUGAUUUGUCCUUCAUUUACAGAGCCAUUUGUGUGAUUACAUUUUCUUUUGAAGUUCAUGUUCAUAGUUGUGAAGAUUUAGUGACUGCCUGUGACGAUCAAAACUUAUUUGGAAUUACCGUCUGAUUUCUUUGAUGUUAACCUUUGGCUGUUUUUCUGAGGCAAUCUAAAUCAAAGUUAAAAAUCUUUUUUGUACGUCUGUUUGUUCUGUACAUUUUAUUUUUGAUGGGGAUGGUAAACGUAGGAAAUUAAGUUCUCGUAGGAGUUCCAUGGUUGUUUGUACAGUCUCAUAUUAGUUCUGUGAUUCUUUGUUUUGUAUUCACCGGCCAUUUCAAUUUUCUUCUCAUCUUUUUUGGGUGUGUUUGUCCGAGUUUUUGCUUUUAUUGAUUGUGUAGGUUUCCAUGGGACAAAUGGUUUCUUAGUCACAUGUGUUCGUAUGCUUGUUCUUUUGUAAUAAUAAUAAUAAUAUGUGGUAAAUCUUAUGACUUAUUCAAUAUUAGUUUGUCUUUUGAUGGGGGAGGUUUGGCAAAAAUCUCUCUUUCACUGAUUGGAGCAAACAAGUUAUGUUUGUAAAAUCCUCCGUAAACGUCACACAUUAAGACUGAUAUGUUGACGGUUGAAAAAUCUCCAUUUCGGGCGGUCUCAUAUUCCAUUGCCUUGGGGAGCUGCGUUGUGGCCAUUACCUCUUGGGACUGGCCAUGAGACAUAUAUUUCUUUUGUGUUGAUCUUCGUAACAAAUAGUGAUCUUGAUUUAUGUUUUGCUACCGAGCCUAUGAGGAUAUCUGAUUUAAAGAACACCAUCUUUCGGGACUGAAUGGCUUAACGCCUUGGUGACAAAUUCUGCAAUUCUGAGGCUCAUAAAUUUUGUUGCUGGGAGUCCAAGUUCAUCGCAAGGAUAUCAAGGGAAGCAAGCUAAACAGGUAGGCUUACACUGGAAGAAGCUCUGAUUUGGGCCGAGGAUGUAGGCCUACACGAGGUUGAGCUGGAAGGAGAAAACCACUUUCGUCAGAGGAAAGAAGACCAGCGUUCACUGGCACUCGUUUUCCAGUCAUAUCUAAGGAAUGAAGACCAGUGCUGUAUGUUUGCCGAUAAUGAACCUUGAGCUGAGAUUUUUGCACUAAUUGUUGUUCAACUAUUGAGGCUCAAACAUACAAGUCCUUGUGAUGACAAUUGUAUAUACUAUCUAUUGCAUUCUACAUGUUUCUCAUCAUGGUAUAUAUAAGGGAUUACUUGUA
Long non-coding RNA from Papaver somniferum (opium poppy), 2253 nucleotides. RefSeq lists it as uncharacterized. The record is from RefSeq and is a predicted model, not a curated record. The transcript has 2 exons. Lineage: Eukaryota; Viridiplantae; Streptophyta; Magnoliopsida; Ranunculales; Papaveraceae.